UGAGGGAAAGGUGAAAAGAACCCCGGGAGGGGAGUGAAAUAGAACCUGAAACCGUGUGCCUACAACCGCUCAGAGCCCCUUAUGAGGGUGAUGAGGUGCUUUUUGUAGAACGAGCCAACGAGUUACGGUAUGUAGCAAGGUUAAGUACUUAAGGUACGGAGCCGAAGGGAAACCGAGUCUGAAUAGGGCGACUAGUUGCAUGCCGUAGACCCGAAACCGGGUGACCUAUCCAUGGCCAGGUUGAAGCGAGGGUAAAACCUCGUGGAGGACCGAACCACGUUGCUGUUGAAAAAGCAUGGGAUGAGCUGUGGAUAGCGGAGAAAUUCCAAUCGAACCCGGAGAUAGCUGGUUCUCUCCGAAAUAGCUUUAGGGCUAGCGUCGAGUAUGAGUAGUGGAGGUAGAGCACUGAAUGGGCUAGGGGGCAUAGCGCUUACCGAACCUUAUCAAACUCCGAAUGCCACAUACUUUGAGCUCGGCAGUCAGACUACGAAUGAUAAGAUCCGUGGUCAAAAGGGAAACAGCCCAGAUCGUCAGCUAAGGUCCCAAAGUGUAAGUUAAGUGGGAAAGGAUGUGAGAUUUCUAAGACAACUAGGAUGUUGGCUUAGAAGCAGCCAUUCAUUAAAAGAGUGCGUAAUAGCUCACUAGUCGAGAGAUCUUGCGCCGAAAAUGUAACGGGGCUAAACUUACCACC
This 691-nucleotide ribosomal RNA is filed under the name Clostridium perfringens. RNAcentral describes it as "partial 23S ribosomal RNA". It matches the Rfam family "Bacterial large subunit ribosomal RNA", at positions 504 to 1195 of the family's 2925-position model. The record is from RNAcentral. Lineage: Bacteria; Bacillati; Bacillota; Clostridia; Eubacteriales; Clostridiaceae.